AAGUCGUAACAAGGUUUCCGUAGGUGAACCUGCGGAAGGAUCAUUAACACGUACUCAGGGACGUCUGCAAGGAGCGUGCAUGUUGUGCGUGUAAGUGGCCUGGCAUCCCCAAGCAGUUAGUGUCUGAAAGUGUCACUAACGUUAGUGUCUGAAAGUGUCACUAACAUGUGUAAGGAUGACGCAGUCACGAUCGUUGGAGGCCCACACGGCCGACGACCGGGUCACCGGGCGCAAGCCCCCUUAUCACACCCCUGCUCUAUCUAUGGUGAUCCUGCGGGAAGUCCUGCGGUCGAACGCCGAAACCGAAUUCUC
This 312-nucleotide unclassified non-coding RNA is filed under the name fungal sp. RNAcentral describes it as "partial internal transcribed spacer region". The stretch from base 1 to 46 matches the Rfam family "Eukaryotic small subunit ribosomal RNA", at positions 1786 to 1831 of the family's 1831-position model. Lineage: Eukaryota; Fungi. The record is from RNAcentral.